Molecule: non-coding RNA, 219 nt
Organism: Pelobates cultripes (western spadefoot toad)
Lineage: Eukaryota; Metazoa; Chordata; Amphibia; Anura; Pelobatidae
Source: the annotation of a GenBank genome assembly
CCUGACUACCAAUGAUUAUACUUUCAGAACAAUAUGUUCCAAAAUGAAGUGAUACUUAUUGCAGACAGUUACAUUUUGGCAUAGAAGACACAAGGACAGAUUUGUGAUGACAACAUAGUGUAGUAUUUUGAGCUGCUAAUAACAUACUCAAUGUAUUCUACCACUUGUAUAAAUAUAACUUGUUCAGUGCUAGCGAACAUCCGUAAAUGUAUCUUCUCU